Mus musculus (house mouse) is the source of this 8427-nucleotide long non-coding RNA. RefSeq annotates it as predicted gene, 53690. The record is from RefSeq and is a predicted model, not a curated record. The transcript is spliced from 2 exons. NCBI's taxonomy places the organism in Eukaryota, Metazoa, Chordata, Mammalia, Rodentia, Muridae.
UCUCACUGCAAGAGUAGAACAGACAGGCCAAGCGGCCAGUGAGUGGGCAGACACAGUGCUGUGGUUUCCUUGGCAACCCUCAGGGCCCUGCCAUUUGCCAGGCUCCUGUAGGGUGGCAGUUUCAGGGUUCAAUCCGCUCUCUUCUCAGGUGAGCACAGAGGUUGGAGGGGACCCAGAGGAAGGGGGAGGAGAGAGUGCACUGAGGUGUGUGCUGUGGGCAGAAGGAUUGUUCAUUCCAGGGAACCCUGUGUUCCCAUGGACCAGGGAGGUGGAUGUGGCUGAGCCAUUCGCCACCAGGGCUGGAUGGACUGAGUCAUCUGGGGUUUGGGUGUCCCAGGAGAAAGAGCACCAGGGCUCUGAAUCAUGACAAUUAUCUCUGACUGCCAACAGGGAGAUUAGGAUUCCCCCAGCCCCUCAAGGAAUGUCCGCCUUGAAUCCAUCUAGCGAUUUGCCAAGGAGCCUGGCUGUCAAAAGUGGGUCUGAGAAAUAAAGUGAAUAAAUAAAAUAAUGAAAAGAAAAAUGGGUCUGAGGCUGAGUCCCAGGGUACAGUAGGCCUGUGGUCCCUGUUACCUAGGGAGCUGAGUUAGGAGAAGAGUAAGUUCAAGGCUUACUGGGCUACAGAGUGAGUUUACAGCUAGCCUGAGCAACGAACACCGAACACCGAGUGUAGACGGCCCCACUACCUGCCUGCUCCAGAGCAGGCAGGUGGAUGGCAUCUUACUUCCUGUCCACCAGGAGAGCCUGAGGAAGGCCAUUUGGGGAUGGUGUGGAAAUGGGAGCCCUCGCCUCCAGCAACAUACCCUGUGCUCAAUGUACUAAGCUGCUGCUUAUUAUAAACACUGAGAAACUUGUAGGCUGGCACCUAGCGUGUGUGUGCACACGCCAGCCUGUUCCAGCACUGCCCCCUCAGCUCGGGCUGCAUCCGUUGGGAGGAGAGAGAGAGAGAGAGAGAGAGAGAGAGAGAGAGAGAGAUUGGCUUGCUGUUUUAGGAGCAUCCAGUUAGGAUGGGCUCCUUCGCUGGGGCUGCUGGGGCUGCUGGGGCUGCUGGGGCUGCUGGGGCUGCAUGCCGGGGAACAGGCUGGGUCUCAACCCUGCUGGUCUCCUCAGGCUGAGGGAGCUCCCAGCGCUGACUGAUGAGUACUGAAUGGCCAUAUAGGAAGCCGGGGGUUGAGAGCAGCGCUCACCGGGCCCCACCCAGCCUAAACAAGAGCUCGCUGUACUUGCCAGAGCACUGGCUGGUCCAGAAGACCCAGUUGCUGAGGCAAAUGAUCAGGCUGCAUGACAUGAUCCUGGGGAUCAAUGUGCUGAGCAGGGGCGCUUCCUGCAGCCCUGGCCCCAAGGCAUGGUGUCUAGGGACACUCGGUGGCUCGGCUCACAGAAGGCCCCAGAGUUGGAGAAGCCGAGAUGCUGGUUCCUGCCUGCCUCAAUAGCCAUGACUGGAGGCAGCAAAUGGCACAGGAGAGACAUGUGGGCAUUAAGUACCAAACGCUUAAUGUCUUGUCAGCUGCAGCUAGAACCUGGCUCAGACAGUUAUUUUUAACUAGAGUUGGACAAAAAUACCAGAGCCCAUCCGAGGCAGUGACUCAGGCUCGUUCCCAUCCCUUGGGAGCCAAGGGGGCUCUGCAGGCUAGAUCCGUGGCCGGCCCUUGGCUGCAGCAGGUUAUGCGUGGGUCCACUGUGGCCUCACACUGGACCAUAGUAGGCACAGUGCCAGCUCUAGGGAUGCCUCUCAACAAGAUGGUUCCCCAGCUUGGUUAGCCUCCCUGCCUCUCCUGUCAGUCCAGGUCUUCUGUGUCCUGCUCUGCUUAAAUCUUUUGGGAGGGCAGGAAAGGGGAGAUGCAAGGAGCCAUCCUGUCCUCCCCUCCUGGGGCUGGUAGAGCAGGGUGUACACUGGGUUCUCUCAGAUUCCCUGGGGAUGGAUCCUAGAGGGGCUCAUUCAGUGUCAUCUUGAGGAACCACCAUGCGGAGAGUCAGCAGCACCCUGCCUUGUUCCCGUGCUUCUGCGGGCCCUGCUGAUAGAAGCCUUCUCAGUCAUGGCUUGGCCAGAGCGUCAUCAACAGGGUGUCAUCAGCCAUAGCCUUCCCUUUCUUUGGAUGUUUAGGGAACUGCUCUAGUUUUGUGUGGGUCUGGGAGAGGCAGGAAGAGCAUCCCAGGAGCUGGUAGGACUUUAUCUGGAAAGCAGAGUGCUGGUGUCACAGUCUCGCCUGCUCUCCUUCCUUUCCCCCUUCUGUCCCAGCCUGGUGGAGUAAAUGCUGCCCGGGACAGGAAGCAGAUAGAAGGGGAGGAAGGGACAGUCUUGUUUCUCAGGAGCCUUGCAGCACAGGGCCUCCCUCCCUUCCAGAGGAUGCCACUGUUGGGAGGAAGGCAGGGAACAGGGACCUGGGUUGUUCUGCACUGUGAUGCAGGCAGCUCUGGGCCCCCUUCUUUGGCCUGUGCUGGCUCCCACGUCCCAGGGAGGGUCUCUCUUUCUGACCCAGGAAAGUGCGGGGCCUCCUCUCCUUUUCAUGGGUAGUGCUGGGCUUCAGCCUGCCCCAGGGAGCUUGCUUGGAGUGACUGUGUCCUGGCCCUCUGGUGACAUGGGAGGCGGUCACAGAAAGGCAAAGUACAAACACAAGGAGGAGCUUUUCUCACUGGUACACCCAGUCAUGUUUCUGGGCCUGCCACCUCUACCCACAGCUGCAGAUUCUGUCUGUGUCAAACCCUGAACUCUCAAUUCCUAGCAUUCCUCUCGAUGGAGUGAGAAGCAAUUAGGACAUCUUGGGAAAGAAAGGAUGCCAUGCCUCCACAUGCCUCCCUCUUCUUUCUUCUGAGAUGAGAUCUCACUGUAUAUAGAUCAGGCUGACCUUGAACCUGUGCCUCAGCUUCCUGUCCUAGAUUCCUGGGUCGGGUACUAUAAGCCCAGGAGGCUGCCUUUGAUUCAUUUGGGACCUCUAAAUUCAAGUCUAGGGCUACAGGCCUGGAUUCCGGUCCUUGGGCUUGGGCAAGCCCCUGUGGGAUGUCUCUUACAGCCAUAAAGUAUACGUGAGAAUCUAGUCUUCACCUACUCUGUGGUGAGGGCAGGUUAAGAGUUAUUUCAGUAUUUACCUCAAGGCCCUGAGUCCCAGAAAUACAGAAAAUAAGUGGAUGGUUGGAGACAGGGUCUUUUCCAUCCUCUGGAGACGAAUGUACAGAGUCAUUUAGAAAGACAUGAGCUCUGUGGAAUGUGGGCACUAUCCAGAGGGAGGGUCACUUCUUUAGUCAAGUGCUGAGACCCUCCACGAGAGAUGGUUCAGGAGAGCCGCUUUGCAGACUUGGCGCAUGCUCUCUGCACAUGUUCACAGAGCGAGCGCCAUCAGGCUCAUAAGCCACCUGGCUGCCUCUGUUCUGAACGGCCCCCAGCCUGAUGAGGUAGAGCCUGGGCAUCCUCAGCUUCUGUUUCAACCUGACAGGGUUGGAGCCCUCAUGUCAUAAGCAUGGAUGUGCUUUGCCUAUUUGGCCUACAGGCUGAUGGAGGGUGAGGGGUCUCAGAGGACCUGCACACUGCCAGGAGGUUUAGGGGUGCUCCCGUACACAUGGGCAAUUCUAGCCAGGUCAUUGGUUCUGGGCUUGCUGGGUCAGCGUGCUAUCACAGGCUUCAGUCCCUCACACUGCGGAUGGCUCCUCCUGGCAUGUGGUUACUCUUGCCUCAUAAUGAGGGGGGCGUUGUGCUCAACCCACCCGCCGUGCUUCUCCUAGGCCCGAAUCACCCACUCAAGAAACUCAUUCCAGAGGCAAAGUAGCCAGAUGGCUUGUGGAAUGGGAGAGUCUCAGGAGGCAGGCAGUCCUCAGGAAAAAGAGUGCUUGGUGUUGUCACCGUGAGAAAUGGGAUGUCUGUCCCCAGGCGCCUGGUGGGUGAUUUUUUUUUUUUUUUUUUGCCUCCCUUGGCCCAGCCCUGAAUGAACCGGUGCCCAGCCAUCUUUGGGAAGUUGCCGUAGGGUUUAGGAAGAAGAGGGGACUGCUGGAGCAGAGGAGCAGCUGUGGAGGUCACUGCUUGCCACCCACACCCUGCACAAAGGCAGAAAGCAUGCAUGGCUCUAGCGUCACAGUUCCCCAGCGUCCUAAACAAUCACGACGUGGCUGGCCCAGCAACUCCACCCCCAGGUGUUCAGACCAGACCUUUGAAUGUCAGUAUCCAUGGCAGAAGUAUUGACAGAAGGCAGAGGCAGCCUCCUUGCCCAUCAGUGGUUGUAUGGAUCAGCAAAGUGUGGUCUAUCUAUUCACUGGGAUAGUACUGUCCAAUCGACUUGUUGGAAAAGCAGUAAAGUAUCAAUACAGGGUAAUAAACUUUGAAAGGAGCCAGCUCCAAUAGGCCACAUACUGUAAAUGACAGGAAAUACACCCACUAGACACAUCAACAGGGACAGAGUAGCUGUUGUGAGGGGUGUCAGGGAGGGGAGGGACUUAGCUCUCCUUUGGAGUGGCAGAAGUGUUCUAGAGGCGAUAGAGGCUGUGGCUGUACAGCACUGGCCACCGCAGGUGUGAUGCUUGGUGUGGAGUGUUUCUACAGUAGGACGUAGAGGACAAAAAGGAGAAAACAGGGAAGUCCUUUCCUUUAUUUUGUUCUGUUUGUUUAGUUUGAGAAGGGUUUCUCUAUGUCUGUCUCCCUGGCCGUGUGCUACCACCCCCCAGCUUUAGGGGACGUUCUUAUUUUAAGUUCAGCCACAAUGACUGAAGUACAGUAAGACUGAACAUGUUGGCUCACACAGUGAGAUUCUGUCUCAAAACAACAACAAACCAGCAAGAGGCUUCGUGGGGCCUGGGCCUGGGGCAGUCCUAGCAGGCACAGGAGAUUGGGUGCGGUGGGGCAGAGAGCAGGGACCCAAUUCUGUCCUGAGCCACAGCACACACUGGGGUCUUUAUAGAGUCAGAGUUAACAGAGAACAGAGAUGGAGACAGGGUGUCUCCCUCUGAUGGUGUGCCAAGCCAAGUGACAGCUGCUGAGGGAGGCUGGCUGUGGGGGGAGGGGCCUUUACUCCCCAGAUUCUGUUACGGAUUUAGUGGCUCAGCAAAUUGUGGUAUUUGGGGACUUUCAUCUCUGUCAUCUGUUCUCAGCCAUCACUGCAGGCAAAUGGCUUCUUUCCUUCCUCACCUAGACUCCCCUCUUCCGGUGGAUGCAGUCGCAGUGCUAGCCGGGCACCCAGAGACACUGCAUACAGGGGACAACCACAUGUCCAGGAGCUGAAUCAGCCUGAAACAAUGUCCCUCAGGCCCCCGGUCAUCUGGGAAAUGCAGUCUCUAGACUGAAGCCAAGCCAAGAAAGUGACCCAGGAGGUUGCAGGCAGCCUGGGCUGGCUGGCAUAGAAUUGAGGUGCAGAACUGGGACUGUGUGUGGGAGGGUCAGAAGCAGCCGGUGAAGCUAGUGAGUACUCUCUGCUGUCUGGUCACAGGAUAUGGGCUGGAGAGAGAUGAGAGGUACCUCUCGUGCUGGGCAUCGACCCCCAGAGCCACACCCCACGGGAUGCCACUCGCCCUAGCUCACACGGAGGGCUGCACGCCUGUAGCUCUUUUCUGUGAGUUCUGCUUCAGGAUGCUGAGCCUCAGAGGGCAGCUCUUUCAAAACCCUGCUGGGGAAACGCUGCUUCUGUUUUGGUCAGGGUUGCAUCACAGCUGCUUCUGAAGUGAGCUGAGGAGUCUGGCUCCUGUGUAAGCUGGAGACCGUGGUGCUGCACUUCCUGUCUGGGUAGCUGGUAAGGGACAGGGCAAAACCAUACAGCAGUCACGAAAGCCUAGGGCCUCGGUCAUGGCUAGGACCUGCCUCCACCCUAGCCUCAGCUGCUUUGGUGUACAGGCAGGGAGGCUCACUCCACCCGCUCUGUGCCCUUCUUUCUCCUUAAAUGCUUCCACCAUCUUCCCUGCCUAAUUGACUGUCCCCACUGAGCACGCGCUGUCCAGAGCAGCAGCGCCCAACCUUCCUGAUACUUCUGCCCCGAUACACAGCGCCUCAUGUUGUGGUGACCCCUGACCAGAAAAUUAUUUUCAUUGCUACUCCAUAACUGUAAUUCUGCUACUGCUGAGAACUGCAAUGUGAAUAUUCUUGGAGAUAGGGAUUUGCCAAAGGGGUGGUGAGCUACAGGUUGAGAACCUCUAGAAAGCGCAUGCCAGUGAACCAGCCCUUGCAUCCUAUGCUGGGCAUGGACCACACAGAAGAGGCCUGGUCAUGUUGGCUGAGUGAAUGUCCCCAAGGAGGUGGCAUCUGGGCUGAGUCUCAAGGAUGAACGGGACUCUCGCAAGAGCCUCCCCGGCUUUAUUUUCUCCUUCUUAAUUAUUGCUGCAUGUUCACUAGAUUUUGUAUUUACCACAGAGAGGUAGCACCCACCUAUGUGGUUUUAAUGACAGAUAAUGAUGUAAUCAGUGUCCCCAUUCAAGCAUGAGGUUCUAGCACAUUCUUAACCACUUCUAAGAGAUCCCUCAAUACUCCACAGGCGACCGACCGAGUCUUCACGUGAGGAAUGGAGAACGCACACUCUUGGCCUCAACCCUUGUCAAACCUGUCAAGAGUCCAGUCCCCUCACACAAGCGACAGGUGGGCGUCAGCUCAGCUUGCUCCACCUCCACUGCCUACGCAGAGCAGAGCCGGUUCUCCAGACAGCUCUGUCUCAGCCUCUCCUGGUGACCACUGUGGCCUGACAGGUUUCUGUCUUCUCUGCCCCACACCCUGCUUGCUUCACACACAUUCCGCACGUGCACAUCACAGCCUCUGUGCUCUGAGCAGAGUCUGGAACAGACACUCAGAGGCCUGCCCCUCCCUGCUGUCGCUCACUCUCCCUUGCUCUCAAGCCGGGUCACAGGCCCUGGGGUAUCCACACAGACUGGACUGUGGAGCUCUGCUGUGCUUCCCCUAGAAUGGGACAGGCCCGGCAAGCCUACCUCCUGCGUGUGGCUCAGUGCUUUGGGGCGCUACAGAGAGCGCGGGAGCCACAGUGCGAUGGUAAAGGAGCAAAAAGACAGCCUCUGGGUGGCAUGGCUAGGGGAGGGGACCUGCAGCAAGAGUGGAAGCCAGGCUGGGGGUCGGGGGGACCCAAAGUGUAGGCACCUGGGUCUAGAGGGACCGGGGCAGCAGAGCAACAGAACAGGGAAACAGGCCACACAGUUCAGGGGAGUGUGGCUAUUCUCAGUCAUAGUGAACAUGCCUAACCGUCUCAAGACGGAGCUGAGAGACUGGGAACUUUGAUCCCCAGCAAUGAAACAAGACAACGUUGAGCUGAGAUCCUGGGUGCCGAGAACAUGGAAGAUAGCAAGGUAUCCCAGGGAACUUUUUGAGGAGAUGGGAAGAAGGAGAGUGGACCUCUGGCUUCCUUCACAGGAGCACAGGACCAACAAAGUGGUUCUGUAGGUGAAGGCGCUGCCCAGCCUGGACAAGCCGAGUUCAGUCCCCAGCACCCGAUGGUGGAGGAGAGAGCGGACUUCUUUAACAUGCACACAUAUGUGAAAACAUGCAAACAAGUUCACUGUAAAAAUACACAAACACACAGAACAGUCACAGAUAAUCUUGAAUAUACAGAUGUGAUAAACUAUAUAAAUAGAUAAAUUAUUCAAGUAGGUAAAUGGCUUAAAGAGGUCUCUCAGGUGGACCUAAAAAUGCAACCAUAAGCUCCUCAGAGAGACCUAUAAAUCACAACAGUUGGGGUGGAGGAAGCACUCAGUGGUUAGAGCCCUGGCUGGUCUUCUACAAGACCCAGGUGUGGUUCCCAGCACUCACAGGGCAGCCCACAACUCUCUGUACCACCAGACCCAGAGGAUCCGUGAUUUCUUCUGAUAGACAUCAGAAACACACAUGAUGCACAUACAUAUAAUAUUGGUAAAAAGAAAUCUAUAAUUUAAAAAUGUAAUCAAGUCAAAUAAUGAUGCUAGGGAUUGUACCAAAUUAACACAAUGUCUUAACCCUAAACACGUGUUUAGAGAUAAGCACUCUACCCCAAGCCAAAAGUGGCACCUUGACCGAAGACACACAGCUUGCUCUGUCUCUCCAUCAUGGAGGAGAUGGUGAGAAGGCCACCCUUGCCAGAGCCCACCGUGCUGACUGAGCUGGACAUCACGGAAGCCGUGAGAACACACACUUCCACAGAAGUAAGAGUGGUUCCUUGCUCAGCCCACCCCACAGAGAGCAGCACAGCACACUGGAGUAGUGUGAACAUUGGUUCUUGACAGCUUCAUGACAAGAGGCACAUUCCACUUCAGAAACGAGGCCUGGUGUCACAACAGAGGCAGGACUCAAACCUAGUGACCCAGGCAGGAGUCUUAACCUCUGAAUACGAUGUCGCUAUCAUCUGUGCCUGAGCAGGGAGCACUGGGUACUGUCUAUGCUUUAUCAAAAGUGCCCGCUAUAGUGUCUGACACAGAUUAGGGGCACACCAGCAUCUGUGGAGUGAUUUUUUUUAAUGACAUGAUUAAGAGAGCAGCUGCAGCUAA